Molecule: long non-coding RNA, 379 nt
Filed under: Nicotiana benthamiana
Lineage: Eukaryota; Viridiplantae; Streptophyta; Magnoliopsida; Solanales; Solanaceae
Description: long non-coding RNA (NBEN_LNC039903)
Source: RNAcentral
AGAGCUUCAGCUGCGCAAGAAAAGAACUAGACCUAGACUCCACAAAAGCAGUAGCUGAUCUUCUCCAAAACAAAAAAGAUUACAAUUCCAAAAAAUGAGGAUGGGCUGCAUAGGAAAUGGGGCAUCGAGAAUUUGAAAUCGAAAGUAAGUUCCUCGUCAACUCAUGUGUAAACAAAUUGAGGGAGACCAGUCGUUACACAUAAUAUUACAGAUUUCAUUUUCAACAGUUGUAAAUGAAAUUGUAGAGUACAUUUAAACUAAGACAGAGUUUCUCAAUUUUGUUUUAGCCGAUUUUGGGCUCCUCUGUAAAGUCGUGCAUUUGAUUGAACGAAAUAUAAGGCUUCAACACUUACCUCUCAUUUGAUACUUUUUGUCUCGG